RNAcentral lists this transfer RNA (69 nucleotides) under Xiphorhynchus elegans (elegant woodcreeper). It matches the Rfam family "tRNA". Rfam says of the family: Transfer RNA (tRNA) molecules are approximately 80 nucleotides in length. The record is from Rfam by way of RNAcentral. Lineage: Eukaryota; Metazoa; Chordata; Aves; Passeriformes; Dendrocolaptidae.
AAGGUUCUAGCUUAAUUAAAGUAUUUGAGUUGCAUUCAAAGGAUGCAGGUUAAUAUCCUGCGAAUCUUA